This 301-nucleotide ribosomal RNA is filed under the name uncultured bacterium. RNAcentral's name for it is "partial 16S ribosomal RNA". It matches the Rfam family "Bacterial small subunit ribosomal RNA", at positions 509 to 807 of the family's 1533-position model. The record is from RNAcentral.
CAGUCGCCGCGGUAAUACAGAGGGUGCGAGCGUUAAUCGGAUUUACUGGGCGUAAAGCGUGCGUAGGCGGCCUUUUAAGUCGGAUGUGAAAUCCCUGAGCUUAACUUAGGAAUUGCAUUCGAUACUGGGAAGCUAGAGUAUGGGAGAGGAUGGUAGAAUUCCAGGUGUAGCGGUGAAAUGCGUAGAGAUCUGGAGGAAUACCGAUGGCGAAGGCAGCCAUCUGGCCUAAUACUGACGCUGAGGUACGAAAGCAUGGGGAGCAAACAGGAUUAGAUACCCCCGUAGUCCCUGUCUCUUAUAC